AGCGGGUUGCUGCAAAGGAGGCCCUAAGUUCAUCCUACAAUUUGUUCAACCGGGGAACCGCCCCUAGCUGCAGGUGUGCAGGCUCGUCCGACGAGAAGCCCGAAGCAGCAACCGUGGUGCCCACCUACGCAUGUAGGGGUUGAGCUGCCGGCGCUCGGCAGCGGCCCGCUC
Molecule: non-coding RNA, 171 nt
Filed under: Nannocystis sp.
Lineage: Bacteria; Pseudomonadati; Myxococcota; Nannocystales; Nannocystaceae
Description: 6S RNA
Rfam family: 6S / SsrS RNA
About the family: E. coli 6S RNA was the first non coding RNA to be sequenced, but its function was unknown until recently. It consists of 184 nucleotides that fold into an extended hairpin structure with a large single-stranded internal bulge.
Source: RNAcentral